Molecule: ribosomal RNA, 494 nt
Filed under: uncultured bacterium
Lineage: Bacteria
Description: partial 16S ribosomal RNA
Rfam family: Bacterial small subunit ribosomal RNA
Source: RNAcentral
GACGAACGCUGGCGGCGUGCUUAACACAUGCAAGUCGAACGGUGACGCGCCUUCCUUUUUGGUGGGUGUGGAUGAGUGGCGAACGGGUGAGUAACACGUGAGUAACCUGCCCCCUUCUUCUGGAUAACCGCAUGAAAGUGUGGCUAAUACGGGAUAUUCUGGGUCUGUCGCAUGAUGGGUCUGGGAAAGAUAUUGUUUCGGUGGGGGAUGGGCUCGCGGCCUAUCAGCUUGUUGGUGGGGUGAUGGCCUACCAAGGCGGUGACGGGUAGCCGGCCUGAGAGGGUGGACGGCCACACAGGGACUGAGACACGGCCAAGACUCCGACGGGAGGCAGCAGUGGGGAAUAGUGCACAAGGGGCGCAAGCCUGAUGCAGCGACGCCGCGGGAGGGAUGGAGGCCUGCGGGUUGUGAACCUCUUUCGCCAGUGGAGCAGGCCUGCCUCGUUUGUGGGUGGGUUGACGGUAGCUGGAGAAGAAGCGCCGGCUAACUACGUG